RNAcentral lists this long non-coding RNA (597 nucleotides) under Citrus sinensis (sweet orange). RNAcentral describes it as "long non-coding RNA (CSIN_LNC004261)". Lineage: Eukaryota; Viridiplantae; Streptophyta; Magnoliopsida; Sapindales; Rutaceae. The record is from RNAcentral.
UUUGUUAAUGCUCAUUUUGGCCCUCAAAUCCCUUCAAUUUCGAUGAAGCCAGUUUCAUUAUUUGGAGGUGAACCUAUUGUUCUCUUUUUUGCUGCAAAAAUCCAGAUCAUGGCUGAGCCUUUCAAAUUAUCGCUUGUUGGUAAGUUUUCAUUUGGCCAUCCAUCUAUGGAUUUGAUUCGAAAAUUUUUUGUUUCUUUGGGUUUGAAAGGUUGUGCACAGAUUUCUUUACUAGAUAAUCGACAUUUGUUGAUCAAGCUUCAUUUUGAAGAAGAUUACUCACGUAUUUGGAGUAGGCAGACUUGGUAUAGCAAGUCCAUGUGCAUUUUCAAGUGGUCUAUUUCUUUUCGGUGCUUUGAAGAAUAUCAUGUUGCUCAUGUCUAGUGAUUAUUAUUAAAAAUUAUUUAAUUAUCAAGCGAUAAUAUGUUAUUUUAUGCUUUUGUUAUAAUUUAUAUUUUUGUUUAUGUAAUAUAUUAGGAAUUAUUAAUUAUGUUUUAAAUAUAUUUAAUUGUGUAUUUUUAUGUGUUUAUUAGGAAAAAUAUUAAUUUUACGUAAUUCGAGACUUCAAACAGAUAAACGGAGGUCAAAUUUGGAUUCCGG